This 492-nucleotide ribosomal RNA is filed under the name uncultured bacterium. Its description in RNAcentral is "partial 16S ribosomal RNA". It matches the Rfam family "Bacterial small subunit ribosomal RNA", at positions 29 to 507 of the family's 1533-position model. The record is from RNAcentral.
AGUGAACGCUGGCGGUAGGCCUAACACAUGCAAGUCGAACGGCAGCACAGUAAGAGCUUGCUCUUACGGGUGGCGAGUGGCGGACGGGUGAGGAAUACAUCGGAUUCUACUUUUUCGUGGGGGAUAGCGUAGGGAAACUUACGCUAAUACCGCAUACGACCUACGGGUGAAAGCAGUGGAUCUUCGGACCUUGCGCGAUUGAAUGAGCCGAUGUCGGAUUAGCUAGUUGGCGGGGUAAAGGCCCACCAAGGCGACGAUCCGUAGCUGGUCUGAGAGGAUGAUCAGCCACACUGGAACUGAGACACGGUCCAGACUCCUACGGGAGGCAGCAGUGGGGAAUAUUGGACAAUGGGCGCAAGCCUGAUCCAGCCAUACCGCGUGAGUGAAGAAGGCCUUCGGGUUGUAAAGCCCUUUUGUUGGGAAAGAAAAGCAGCAGGUGAAUACCCCGCUGUUCUGACGGUACCCAAAGAAUAAGCACCGGCUAACUUCGUG